This is a long non-coding RNA of Bombus terrestris (buff-tailed bumblebee), 2638 nucleotides long. RefSeq lists it as uncharacterized. The transcript has 2 exons. The record is from RefSeq and is a predicted model, not a curated record. Lineage: Eukaryota; Metazoa; Arthropoda; Insecta; Hymenoptera; Apidae.
AUGUAUUUCGCAAGAUUUCGCAAUAUCAAUUGCGCGCUGCCUGUCAAGCGGUGCCAGCUCGCGCGCUUUGCCCGCUCUCGACCGAGAAUUAUCGCCCGCGAGAGGCAUUUUACGUUAUUUAAGACUAUGUAAUUUAAUAAAGUGACGGCCUCGCGAUGCUUCGUUCCACGAUUCUCAGGGACGAGCCGCGAAUUCGAUUCGGUCUUCGCGUAUCGGCCGCGUUCCACACAGGGUUCAGGAAAUUACGGUCCCGUGGCGGCCUUUUAACGGGCCUUUUCAGCGUGAAAUUAUUCCCUCCGACAUAGGAACGCCGGUGAUCGACUCGAUGGAUCGGACUCUCGAUACGAUCUCUCGUGGAUCGACGGUGUUUGUGCUCGCCUUUCGAAAGGGUUUCUAAGACGUUUUGGUCAUGAGCGUGGAACUGAUCGUACCACAGGCUGUUUUAAUUGGGAGAUAAGUGAAACAGCACGGAGAAAUAGUACCGGGGUUUGAUACGGUGUGAUUUGCUGAUUUAUGAGGGAUCAGUUCAUCUAAAAUUCAACUGGCUAAAUGAACGUGAUUCGCUGUAUAACGUACGCUGGAUGUAUUGACAGAUAUUUUAAUAGAUCGUGACUGCGCGGAAUGGUAGAAUUUAGACAGAUGGUCAGUUAUUUGAUAGUUCGGUAGUAAUCAACUUGGAAAAUGUUUUCUUGAUUUGUUCAUCUAAAGUAGAGAGUUAUUAUAAUUUGCUAACUUAUAGAUGCCCGUUUUUUUUUAUAGUAGAUUGUUUUCUCCAUCGCUUAAUCAAAAAUCCAUCCGGUGUAAAUAAUUUUUGAUCGGAUCUAAUUUUGAAAUCAAGUAUAAGACAUGGAUUUAAACUCCUAAAAUGGAAGUGGUCCUAAAACCUGCCUUUCCUUUAUCGUGAUAUUCUUGUCUCAGCCAAGUAGAUGUCCUGUUUCGUCUAUGGACCGCCUUUUGCAUUUAUUUGAACUGGUAUCGACCGGUGGCGCUUCCACUAGCCUCGUUUGCAUGUUAUACCGAAUAUCGUGGCUCCGUUUCUCUUAUAGAACAUCAAUCAUUCGGUCGAUGGGUCACUGGACACAAUUCUAAAUUAACCGGUUUUGCAAUGUUGGCGCCACUCGUCGUCGCGAAUCUGUGGCCCAAUUUUGCGCUGAAGAAUCAAGGAUUCUUUAAGAAAAUUAUAAUCAAUUAUACGGUAUAUGAUAUAAACAAAACGCGUAUAAAAAUAUACUAUGUAGUAUGUACUACAAACUGUAUCACAAAAAUCUUAUCCCAACACAAAACCUAUAUUUAUCGCCUCUACUGACAAAUCACAUCAAUUCAAUCCAUCACACAGAGACUCAUCCAAAGGACAGAUUUACAAUGACGUCUAAUCGCUUCCAGAAAAUCUCUCCCCUACCACUUGACCCACUGCUCUCCAACUAGAAGUUUCAUCACGACACCAUUAGAAUAAACAAAUUCUAAUUCAUCGUGUAAAAAUUCCACGCACAGAUAAUCGACACCUCCGAUGUCCGAACUGUCUCACCUCGUUCCUUUUGCUUACGUCAGCCAAACGAUUCACUCGCGAUCAAUCGAUGGGGACAAUCUGCAAUCUGGAUGCAGAUCUCCUCUCCGUGCAUCCGGCAGAACACGUCGAUUGGUAUUUAGGCCUCGCGUUACAUAACCUUUUCUUGUCAUCGUGCGGCCGCCAAAGCAACGGAUAAAAAAACUAUUCCGGGAGGCGAGCGGGGGCGGUAGCGUAUCAUCGUUGUGACAUUGGGACAUUGGUUUUCCGUAUGCGAGUCUCGUUCAACCGGACCCGAGCAACCUCUCUAUCCUUCUUCCUCUAUGUGUUUACGAGUGUUUCACUCUCUUGUUCUUUCUCUUUCUCCGUCCAUCAUGGAUAGACGCUUCUACGCGGUUGAAAUACGGAGUUCCGCGCGUCAAAAACGACUGGUUCUGCCUAAUACGUGGCCAGGAACGAGGAACGUGCUACGAGCAUCCGCCAAUUGCGAAAUGCAGGAAUUUAAAACAGCAUUCCCGGUAAGGUCAGCCGGCAAACCGGGGUCAUUGGUGUAAUUACUGAACACGAAAAUUUGUGGAUAAGUUCGUGAAUUUUUGGGAUUUGGGACAAGUUAGGAAUUGUAGGAAUUAUGCGAAUGAUAAGACACGAAGCACAGAGUAACGUUGAUGUUGAUAUGAGUUUAAAUUUUAAGUGGAAAUAUCGAUGUUCCAAUUUCUUGACAUACUUUACAUGCAACUUGGCAUGUGUUACUAUAACAAAAUAUCAUUCGAGUAUUCAGUUGUUAAAAAUAUUAAACAACCAACUCAACAUUUUUUUGUAUUUAGUUUAAUUUGUUCAGUGGGAUGUGUUCAUCCAAAAUUCAGACCUUCGAAUCGACUUAAAAAUUAAUCGGACGACAGAAAAUCCUUUGAAUGCAAAAUUUAUAUAUCUGGAGCCUCGUCGAUCAAACCUCUAGACCCACAUAGGAAGUCCAUACUGCGAAAACCGACUAAAAGGAUGUCAAAAAUCACUUGAGCGAUGAUCAAUUAAAGAUAGAGUGUACAACGAAAGUUCAGUGAGCCUUUUAGUCGUGCGAUUAUUAUGCAAAUUCGCUGUCUCGUUUAUCGAGGUAAUUAUGCAUUGAUCAUGGCCUGA